Molecule: ribosomal RNA, 1211 nt
Filed under: uncultured Sulfitobacter sp.
Lineage: Bacteria; Pseudomonadati; Pseudomonadota; Alphaproteobacteria; Rhodobacterales; Roseobacteraceae
Description: partial 16S ribosomal RNA
Rfam family: Bacterial small subunit ribosomal RNA
Source: RNAcentral
AUGCAAGUCGAGCGCACCCUUCGGGGUGAGCGGCGGACGGGUUAGUAACGAGUGGGAACAUACCCUUUUCUACGGAAUAGCCUCGGGAAACUGAGAGUAAUACCGUAUACGCCCUUCGGGGGAAAGAUUUAUCGGAGAAGGAUUGGCCCGCGUUAGAUUAGAUAGUUGGUGGGGUAAUGGCCUACCAAGUCUACGAUCUAUAGCUGGUUUUAGAGGAUGAUCAGCAACACUGGGACUGAGACACGGCCCAGACUCCUACGGGAGGCAGCAGUGGGGAAUCUUAGACAAUGGGCGCAAGCCUGAUCUAGCCAUGCCGCGUGUGUGAUGAAGGCCUUAGGGUUGUAAAGCACUUUCGCCAGGGAUGAUAAUGACAGUACCUGGUAAAGAAACCCCGGCUAACUCCGUGCCAGCAGCCGCGGUAAUACGGAGGGGGUUAGCGUUGUUCGGAAUUACUGGGCGUAAAGCGUACGUAGGCGGAUCAGAAAGUAGGGGGUGAAAUCCCAGGGCUCAACCCUGGAACUGCCUCCUAAACUCCUGGUCUUGAGUUCGAGAGAGGUGAGUGGAAUUCCAAGUGUAGAGGUGAAAUUCGUAGAUAUUUGGAGGAACACCAGUGGCGAAGGCGGCUCACUGGCCCGAUACUGACGCUGAGGUACGAAAGUGUGGGGAGCAAACAGGAUUAGAUACCCUGGUAGUCCACACCGUAAACGAUGAAUGCCAGUCGUCGGGCAGUAUACUGUUCGGUGACACACCUAACGGAUUAAGCAUUCCGCCUGGGGAGUACGGUCGCAAGAUUAAAACUCAAAGGAAUUGACGGGGGCCCGCACAAGCGGUGGAGCAUGUGUUUAAUUCGAAGCAACGCGCAGAACCUUACCAACCCUUGACAUCCUGUGCUACAUUCAGAGAUGAAUGGUUCCUUUCGGGGACGCAGUGACAGGUGCUGCAUGCUGUCGUCAGCUCGUGUCGUGAGAUGUUCGUUAAGUCCGGCAACGAGCGCAACCACAUCCCUAGUGCCAGCAGUUCGCUGGUACUCUAUGAAACUGCCCGUGAUAGCGAGAAGUGUGAUGACGUCAAGUCUCAUGCUACGUGGCUACCCACGUGCUACAUGCAUCUACGUGUAUCCCAAAGAUGUACUCAGUCGAUGGCUCUGCACUCGACGCUGAGUCCGGAAUCGCUUGAAAUUCGCGAUACAACAUAGACGCGGGUAAUACGUC